CGUGUAGGCGGUCAGGUAAGUGGAAUGUGAAAUGCCCCGGCUCACCCGGGGACCGGCAUCCCAAACUGCCUGGCUUGAGUAUGGGAGAGGAUGGAGGAAUUCCUGGUGUAGCGGUGAAAUGCGUAGAUAUCAGGAGGAACACCGGUGGCGAAGGCGUCCAUCUGGCCCAAUACUGACGCUGAGGCGCGAAAGCUAGGGGAGCAAACGG
RNAcentral lists this ribosomal RNA (208 nucleotides) under uncultured Latescibacterota bacterium. RNAcentral describes it as "uncultured Latescibacteria bacterium partial 16S ribosomal RNA". It matches the Rfam family "Bacterial small subunit ribosomal RNA", at positions 568 to 775 of the family's 1533-position model. The record is from RNAcentral. Lineage: Bacteria; Pseudomonadati; Candidatus Latescibacterota.